RNAcentral lists this ribosomal RNA (321 nucleotides) under uncultured Leptophryidae. RNAcentral's name for it is "SSU rRNA". It matches the Rfam family "Eukaryotic small subunit ribosomal RNA", at positions 634 to 955 of the family's 1831-position model. Lineage: Eukaryota; Endomyxa; Vampyrellida; Leptophryidae. The record is from RNAcentral.
AACUUUUGGUCCUCUAUAAUUGUCCCAUUCUCUCGCAGAAUGUUGUGACGAUUCUUGGGACCUUCCUGGUUGAAAGUAUUUCUGCCCUUUAUUGGGUUGGUUAUGUGAUCUGCCUCUUUUACUGUGAGAAAAACAAAGUGCUCAAAGCAGGCUUUACAGCUUGAAUGCGUUAGCAUGGAAUAAUAAGAUAGGACUUUGUUACUAUUUUGUUGACUCUGAGAAACAAAGUAAUGAUUGAUAGGGAUAGUUGGGGGUGCUCGUAUUUAACGGUCAGCGGUGAAAUGCAUGGACCCGUUAAAGACGAACCUAUGCGAAAGCAUU